Colossoma macropomum (tambaqui) is the source of this 1019-nucleotide long non-coding RNA. RefSeq lists it as uncharacterized. NCBI's taxonomy places the organism in Eukaryota, Metazoa, Chordata, Actinopteri, Characiformes, Serrasalmidae. The transcript is spliced from 6 exons. The record is from RefSeq and is a predicted model, not a curated record.
GAAAGAGGAAAGGGAGAUUAGCAGAAGAGAGUUACAGAGAGAGGAAGGAGUAUCUGUAAGUUGCAAGUUAGACUUAAACAGCACAGCCUCAGCAAGUGAACCGCCUGCUGGCACAUCACAGGUCUCAGAGCCUCACCUGAUUGAUCUGAUCUUGGGAGAAGACCACAGUCAUGGAACAAGCAGAGAAUAAAGUAUCGGCCACUUCCCCACAAAAGCAGACGGUCAAAAACAGGUCCAAGUCCACAGAUGAGGUGCAGCAAGCCAAAAAGGCCUUUCACACACCACAGAAGUCUCUCCCGGCGAAGCCAGAAACGGAGAAGCUGGAGGAGACCGCAGAGCUUAGCGCUUCAUCAGAGGAGCUGAAAUGAUGGCAGUACUCACACGGGUGUGACUGGGAUAUAGAUAGAUGAGAAAAAUAUGUCUUGUUUAUACCAUUGUAACUAACUGCAAUGACAUUCAUAUGUAUUAUUCAUCAGUCAGUCUAAAGAAUAGAGCACAUUCAAUAUUCAGCUGCGCAACAGUGGAUAGAAGCUUUCAGGGCCUGUUCUUUCCAGACGCAGAGCCUAGUCCUAGUCGAAAAAGUGUUUUUCUUUCUAGUAGACAGUCACUAUCCCCCUUUUUACACAUGAUUUAUUUCAUUACAUGCAUAGAUUUAGUUAUAUAUUAAUCUGGCCUGAUAUUUAUGUAUUUAUUAAGUAAUUAAUUUAACAAAAAAGUUAAAUGGACAAGGUCCCCACUAGAUGGAUACUUUCUCAAUUUGAGUACAUGUAUGUAAGCAACAUAAAACAUGAAAAGGUACUGCUGGAUGUUUCCAUUAAGUAUGUGUCUGUAGUGCUAAUGAAUUGCGUACUGUAUCUGUGUUUGUAAAGAACUGUAAAACAAUACUUGAAAACAUUUGUUGGAUUUUUGUGUUACCCUGAGCAAACACAUACGCAGGCCACACAAACUCAUGAUUAGUUUGACAUGUUCAGUGGAGUGUCUGAUUAAUAAAGAGUUGAAAACACAUUUCAGACUUUUAA